GUCCAUGCCGUAAACGAUGGGUUCUAGUUGGUGCGGGUAUUGACCCCUGCGCUGACGAAGCUAACGCGUUAAGCACCCCGCCUGGGGAGUACGGCCGCAAGGCUAAAAACUCAAAGGAAUUGACGGGGGCCCGCACAAGCAGUGGAGCAUGUGGAUUAAUUCGACGCAACGCGCAGAACCUUACCUGGUCUUGACAUCCCAGGAAUCCCGCUGAGAGGCGGUAGUGCCCUUCGGGGAACCUGGAGACAGGUGCUGCAUGGCUGUCGU
This 267-nucleotide ribosomal RNA is filed under the name uncultured bacterium. RNAcentral describes it as "partial 16S ribosomal RNA". It matches the Rfam family "Bacterial small subunit ribosomal RNA", at positions 793 to 1055 of the family's 1533-position model. The record is from RNAcentral.